Molecule: long non-coding RNA, 6484 nt
Filed under: Triticum aestivum (bread wheat)
Lineage: Eukaryota; Viridiplantae; Streptophyta; Magnoliopsida; Poales; Poaceae
Description: long non-coding RNA (TAES_LNC008589)
Source: RNAcentral
CUUUGUGUUUUUCUUUUUCUUUAAGAACCAUGCUAGUAUGAGAUGUCCGUUCAUUAAUUUAUAGAAUUAUUCAUGUGCUUCACUUAUAUCUUUUGAGUAUGACCUUGUAGAAUGCUCUUUGUGCUUCACUUAAAUCAUUUGAGUAUGGUUUUAUAGAAUGAUUUGAAUGCUUCACUUAUAUAUUUUGAGCUUGGAUAUUGGUUAGACUAUAUUAAUUGUAGAAUGCUCCAUGAACUUCACUUAUAUAUUUUGAAGUAUGAAUAAUACUAUCAUCUAAAGCGGGUUUGGAAGAGUGUCAACUUUAGGAAUUAGUGACCCCACUAUUCCGAAUGAGAAGAAUUUUGCAUAUGUGGAGAGUAGAAAAUUAUCUAUGCUUGUAGAUCAUGAAAAGAAUGCUUUAUGUGAUGGUUAUAUUGAUGAAUUCAUUCAUGAUUCUACUAAAAAAUAUUAUGAGGGAGGAAUAUAUGCUUGUUGGAGUUGCAAUAAUAUCAAGUUUCCUCUCUAUGUGCUUAAAGUUUUGAAGUUAUACCUGUUUUGCCUUCCUAUGCUAGUUGAUUCUUGUUCCUAUAAAUUAUGUGCUCACAAAAUCCUAGGCAUAGGAAGUGGGUUAGAUUUAAAUGUGCUAGUCAUAUUCUUCAUGAUGCUCUCUUUAUGUUUCAAUUCUUAUCUUUUAUGUGAGCACCAUUGAAGUCAUCAUGCCUAGCUAAAAGGCAUUAAAGAAAAGCGCUUGUUGGGAGACAACCCAAUAUUUACCCUUACUAUUUUUGUGUUUAUAUUAUUAAGAUACUGUAGUAAUCAUGUUUUAUAGCUUUUUGUUUCAAUAAAGUGUCAAGUAAGACCUUUGGCAAGACUUGGGUGAGAGUUAAUGUGAUCUUGCUGUAAAAAACAGAAACUUUGCGCUCACGAGAUUAGCUGCCAUUUUUUACAUAAGAGUGUUUUUGAGUUGAUACUUUUUGCAGAAGAUUAAUAGACAAAUUCCUCACGUUCACAAAUUUAUUUCCUAAUUUUUGGAGUAGCAGAAGUAUGGUUUCUGUUCAUAUCAUUACAGACUGUUCUGUUUCUGACAGAUUCUAUUUUCAUUGCAUAGUUUGCUUGUUUUCUAGUUUCUAUGGAUUAUAUUUCUAUAUAUAAAUUAUAGAAAUGAUAUAAUACACUAGACAUUGUGUGGGAACAAUUAUGAACCUUGUCUUUGACACUACCAAAGUGAAUGGUUUACUCUUUACCAUACUAACCUAUCUCACGGAGUUUCGUUAAGUUUUGUGUGAUUGAAGUUUUCAAGCUUUGGGUGAGAUAUCGAUAUGAGGAGAAUAAGGAGUGGAAAGACCCUAAGCGAUGGGAUGCCCAAGGCACCCCAAGGUAAUAUUCAAGUAAGAUUCAAGCGCCUAAGCGUGGGGAUGCCCCGGAAGGUAUCCCCUUUUUCGUCUUCAAAACUAUCGGUAUACCUUACUCGGAGCUAUAUUUUUAUUCAUCACAUGAUAUGUGUUUUGCUUGGAGCGUAUUUUCAAUUUUACUUGCUGUUUGAAUAAAAUCAUUGGAUCUGAAUUAUUGAAUGAAAAAGAAUCCUCCCAAGGCUAGUUAAUUAUUUGAGUACUCAGUGUUCUUCACCUAUAUCUUUUGGAGUAGUUUGUCAUUUACUCAUAUGCUUCAUGUAUAUCCUAUGAGUAAAUGGUUGAAUGAAUUGAAUGUCAUAAAUCUGAAUUUAUAUAUGUUUCAUAUGCUUAUAACAUGGGGAGUAAUGACUUCACACAUAAUAAGUAUAGGUAGUAAACUCAUUGAAAGUUAGCAAACGUAGAAUUGGUCACUUGAACAAUUCAUGAAAGAAUAUUGAAGGAAGAGAGAUUUCACAAAUAAAUAUACUAUCUUGGACAUCUUUUGUAAUUAUGAGCACUCAUUAAAAUAUGACAUGCUAAAAGGUUGAUGUCGGACAAGGAAGACAAUGUAAUGGGCUAUGUUUUCUUAUAUCCGAAAUAAAGUAUAUUGUCUUGGAUCAUCCAACAUGUUGAGCUUGCCUUUCCCUCUCAUGCUAGCCAAAUUCUUUGCACCAAGUAGAAAUACUACUUGUGCUCCCAAACAUCCCUUGUACCAGUCUUGCCAUGAGAGUCCACCAUACCUACCUAUGGAUUGAGUAAGAUCCUUCAAGUAAGUUGUCAUCGGUGCAUGCAAUAAAAAUUGCUCUUUAAAUAUGUAUGAUCUAUUAGUGCGAAGAAAAUAAGCUUUGUACGAACUUGUGAUAGGGAAGAAAUAAAAGCGACGGACUGCAUAAUAAAGGUAUUUAUCACAAGAGGCAAUAUAAAGUGACGUUCCUUUGCAUUAAGAUUUUGUGCAUCCAACCAUAAAAGUGCAUGACAACCUCUGCUUCCCUCUGCGAAGGGCCUAUCUUUUACUUCUAUCUUCUACCCUUAUACAAGAGUCAUGGUGAUCAUCACCUUUCCUUUUUACACUUUUUCCUUUGGCAAGCACUUUAUGUUGGAGCGAUCCGCAUAUAUAUAUAUAUAUAUAUAUAUAUAUAUCCAAUUGGAUGUAAGUUAUCAUGAACUAUUAUUGUUGACAUUACCCUUGAGGUGAAAGGUUGGGAGGCAAAUCUAUAAGCCCCUAUCUUUCUCUGUGUCCGAUUAAAACUUUCAACCCAUAAAUAUCAAGUGAGUGUUAGAAUUUGCGAAAGAUUAAAUGAUAGUUGAGUACGUGGAGUUUGCUAAAUCAAAGCUCUGACAUAGACCCUUCCUGAAAAUAAGAUGAAUUGCAAUUGUUUGAUGACUAAGAGCACUGUUUGUUAGUUUUCAAGAAAGUUUAUGAUCUAUACUUUAACAUGUGAAUAGCUUGUUACUUGAUCAUGAAAUUUUUUAUGAGAUGAGCUAUUGUUAUGACAUAUAAUGAUGCUAGAAAAGGUGAUUGAAAUUAUCAUUGAUCAAACUUGUGCACCUGCUAGCAUUCACACUUCAUAAAUUAUUUCUUUUAUCAUUUACCUACUCGAGGACGAGCAGGAAUUAAGCUUGGGGAUGCUGAUACAUCUCCAACGUAUCUAUAAUUUAUGAUGUAUUCAUGCUAUUAUAUUAUCCAGCUUAGAUGUUUUAUAUGCAUUUAUAUGCUAUUUUAUAUGAUUUUUGGGACUAACCUAUUAACCUAGAGCCCAGUGCCAGCUUCUGUUUUUUCCUUGUUUUUGAGUUUUACAGAAAAGGAAUACCAAACGGAGUCCAAUUGACGUGCCAAUUUUUGUUCAUUUUUUAUGGACCAAAAGAAGCCCCUGGAGGAAAAGAGUUGGGCCAGAAGAGUCCCGGGCAGUCCACGAGGGUGGGGGUCGCGCCCACCCCCCUGGGCGUGGGCCCCUGCCUCGUGGACGACUCGGGGACCCCCCUGACGUGAAACCAACGCCAAAAAUUCCUAUAAAUACAGGAACCCCCAGAAAAUAACCUAGAUCCGAAGUUCCACCGCCGCAAGCCUCUGUAGGCACGAGAAAUCAAUCUAUGCCCUCUCUGGCACCCUGCUGGAGGGGGCCAUCAUCACCGGAGGCCAUGGAGGAGGAUAAGGGUCCAUCAUCACCAUGAAGGCCAAGGACCAGAGGGAGAACCUCUCCACAUCUAGGGGUGAGGCCAUGGAGGGGGAAGCACAAGGGGGAGAACCUCUCCUCCUCUCUCUCGGUGGCGCCGGAGUGCCAUCGGGAGGGGAAUCAUCGCCGCGGAGAUCAUGUUCAUCAACAUCACCAUCAUCAUCACCAUCCUCAUCUCUUUUACGUGGUCCACUCUCCCGCACUCCACUGCAAUACCUACUUGAACAUGGUGCUUUAUGCCACAUAUUAUGAUCCAAUGAUGUGUUGCCAUCUGAUGAUGUUUUGAGUAGAUAUCUUUUGUCCUUGGGUUGAUUGAUGAUCUAGAUUGGUACGAGUUGUAUGUUUUAUUUUGGUGUUGUCCUAUUGUGCCCUUCGUGUCACGCAAGCGUCAGGGACUCCCGCUGUAGGGUGUUGCAAUAGGUUCAUGAUUCGCUUAUAGUGGGUUGCUUCAGUGACAGAAGCAUAAACCCGAGUUAAUGCUAUGGUUGGGUUUUACCUUAGUGAUCUUUAGCAGUUGCGGAUGCUUGCUAGAGUUCCAAUCAUAAGUGCAUAUGAUCCAAGAAGAGAAAGUAUGUUAGCUUAUGCCUCUCCCUCAUAUGAAAUUGCAAUGACGGCUACCAGUCUUGUUAACAAUUGCCAAAGAUAAUUCCGCGCACCGACCCAUCAUUAUUCCACACUCGCUAUUUAUAAUAUUUAGUAAUAUAUUCUAACUUUGUGAUAACAGCACCUACUUUUAUGUUUUAGCUCUUCGAUAUCAUGCAAAGUUAUCCUCUUCAUACCCACAACGUAGUUUUAUUUCUCGUUUCUAGUUGGAAGCAACCGUUCUGUGUACGUAGAGUCGUAUCAGUGGCAGAUAGGACUUGAGAGAAUAUUGAUCUUACCUUUAGAUCCUUGUGGGUUCGACACUCCAUACUUAUCACUUCCACUAUUGGGAAUUGCUACGAUGAUUCCCUGCACUUGGGGAUUAUCAAGCUCUUUUUUGGCGCCGUUCCCGGGGAGCAAUAGCGUGGGGUUGAUAUUCUCGUCUAUGAAUGUUUGCUUUCUUCACUAAGUAGAUUUUGUUUUUCCUUUUUGUUUCUGUUUAGUUGUGGGUGAAACAUACAAAAAAAUUUAAGAAUGAAAAUACAAAACAAUUUACUUGCCUCUCAUGCCUAAAAAGUUUUUCAAUAAGAGAAGUGAUUGGAAGGUUAUGCAUUGGAGAAGUGAGGGCGACCUUGAACACUUGUGUUCAUGCUCAUGGAAACAAUGUAAAAAAAUUCAUGGAAGAUUCUCUGGAAAUAAUUAUCCCCUUGUAUAUAUCCAUUUUAUUAUAAAAAUAAUGUGCCAAGCUUUGGUUUUAGGAAGAUUAGAUUGCUUGUUUACUAUGUGCAAUACAAAAACAGAAACUUUGGCUGUAGUGCGUGAAUUUACAUUUUUUACUGGAAAGUCAAAUGGGUCUGAAACAUUUGGCACAUUACUUACGUGCAAAAAUUUUAAAUUUUCAUAUUUGUUUAGAAUUUUUUGGAGUUACAUAAGUUUACUAAACUUCCAGAUUACUACAGACUGUCCUGUUUUUGACAGAUUCUGUUUUCUAUGUGUUGAUCACUUAUUUUGAUGAAUCUAUGGAUAGUAUCGGGGGGUAUGAACCAUGGUGAAGUUAUAAUACAUUAGAUAAAGUGCUAAUACAAAGUUGGAAUGACUUUGUAACAGUACCUAAAGGUAGUGAUUUGCUUUAGUAUACUAACGGAUCUCACAAAGUUUUUGUUAAGUUUUUGUGGAUGAAGUUUUCGAAGAACGAGGCGUUACCGAUGUGAGAAAAAUAAAGAGAGGCAAGAGUUCAAGCUUGGGGAUGACCAAGGCACCCCAAGUAAAUAUUCCCAGGAUACUCAAGCAUCUAAGCUUGGGGAUGCCCCGGUUGGCAUCCCAUCUUUCUUCUUCAACAAUUAUUCGUAUACCUCGGUUUUGUUUUGUUCACAUGAUUUGUGUCCUUUGUGUUUUUCUUUUUCUUUAAGAAUGCUAGUAUGAGAUUUCCCUUCAUCAAUUUAUAGAAUUAUUCAUGUGCUUCACUUAAAUCUUUUGAGUAUGGUUUUAUAGAAUGCUUUGUGUGCUUCACUUAUAUAUUUUGAGCUUGGAUAUUGGUUAGACUAUAUUAAUUGUAGAAUGCUCCAUGAAAUUCACUUAUAUCUUUUGAAGUAUGAAUAAUACUAUCAUCUAAAGCGGGUUUGGAAGAGUGUCAACUUUAGGAAUUAGUGACCCCACUAUUCCAUAUGAGAAGAAUUUUGCAUAUGUGGAGAGUAGAAAAUUCUCUAUGAUUGUAGAUAAUGAAAAUAAUGCUUUAUGUGAUGCUUAUAUUGAUGAAUUAAUUCAUGAUUCUACUAAAAAAUAUUAUGAGGGAGGAAUAUAUGCUUGUUGGAGUUGCAAUAAUAUCAAGUUUCCUCUCUAUGUGCUUAAAGUUUUGAAGUUAUACUUGUUUUGCCUUCCUAUGCUAGUUGAUUCUUGUUCCUAUAAAUUAUGUUCUCACAAAAUCCUAGGCAUAGGAAGUGGGUUAGAUUUAAAUGUGCUUGUCAUAUUCUUCAUGACGCUCUCUUUAUGUUUCAAUUCUUAUCUUUUAUGUGAGCACCAUUGAAGUCAUCAUGCCUAGCUAAAAGGCAUUAAAGAAAAGCGCUUGUUGGGAGACAACCCAAUAUUUACCCUUACUGUUUUUGUGUUUACAUGAUUAAGCUACUGUAGUAAUCAUGUUUUAUAGCUUUUUGUUUCAAUAAAGUGCCAAGUAAGACCUUUGGGAAGACUUGGGUGAGAGUUAAUGUGAUCUUGCUGUAAAAAACAAAAACUUUGCGCUCACGAGAUUAGCUGCCAUUUUUUACAUAAGAGUGCUUUUGAGUUGAUACUUUUUGCAGAAGAUUAAUAGAAAAUUCCUCACGUUCACCAAUUUAUUUCAUAAUUUUUGGAGUAGCAGAAGUA